Molecule: ribosomal RNA, 253 nt
Filed under: uncultured bacterium
Lineage: Bacteria
Description: partial 16S ribosomal RNA
Rfam family: Bacterial small subunit ribosomal RNA
Source: RNAcentral
UACGGAGGACGCGAGCGUUAAUCGGAAUUACUGGGCGUAAAGCGCGCGUAGGCUGUUGUGUAAGUUGGGGGUGAAAUCCCACGGCUCAACCGUGGAACAGCCCUUGAUACUGCGCGACUUGAAUCCGGGAGAGGGUGGCGGAAUUCCAGGUGUAGGAGUGAAAUCCGUAGAUAUCUGGAGGAACAUCAGUGGCGAAGGCGGCCACCUGGACCGGUAUUGACGCUGAGGCGCGAAAGCGUGGGGAGCAAACAGG